AGAGGACUAAUCCUUCUCUCAGCUUAUUUGGGACGAAUCCUUCCCAAAUGGAGGCAUUAGAAAAUCUAGUAAACUUUAGAUUUUUUGUAUGUUUUUGGUAAAGUUGGCUCGAAUUGGGACUUGAAUUUGAGAUCUCACAUAUUUGGAGACGACUUAAGUGUCAUGAUGCCAAAACUCAUUGACUAGAUUUUUAUUUAUUUAUUAUUAU
RNAcentral lists this unclassified non-coding RNA (208 nucleotides) under Hevea brasiliensis (rubber tree). Lineage: Eukaryota; Viridiplantae; Streptophyta; Magnoliopsida; Malpighiales; Euphorbiaceae. The record is from RNAcentral.